AUUGAUAUGUCCUGGUUGUUGUGAAGUAUUUUGUAGCCGGUCCUGCUGAGGGGAGAAGGGAAAGGCACCUUGGAAGUGCUUAGGCAAGAGGCCUGCGGGCAUACAUAUACCCGUAGUAUGUACUCUGUCUAUGCACACUAGUUUUCUCCUUUCAGGUAGCCUGUUUCUGGUCUCAGGUUCAGAGAUGUAUCAUGACACAAGAUGAGACCGGUGGGAUGGGCUGAGGGUUGGAAUUGGAGACAAGUGGGCGUGGAGCGACGCUCAAAGUUAAAAAAACAAAAAACCACCUUCAAAUUGGAUGAUGGCCUCCUACUGCAUGACAUCUCUGCUACAUGCUGCUUCCUGUAUGCUCGUGAGGAAGCCUCCCUCCGCUACCUCUGUCAACUGAGCCCCCUCCUGUAUGCUUGUGAGGAAGCCUACUGCCACCUCUGUCACCUGACAAACCAUCUCCUGCAGGCCACCUGAACUAAAGUCGGCAUCUUCUGCAUCGAGCUGGGUCUACGCUCUCCUUCACUCUCUUGUUCUCUCUGUCUUUCUCAUCUAAAACUCCUACAUCUGCUUCCCUGUCCUCUCCUUCAAAAAUAGAAAAUUCAAGACUUUAAAGCUGUUGUAUUGAUUUAAAACAAUGACGCAUCUAUAAUUGCGACAAACUUUGUAGUUGGCUUACUUCUCUUUCUACUAUGCUGUACAUCUGUUGCAGAUUGAGGGGGUGGAUUCAUGCAAUUUAUUCUGGUAGGUACUGCCUCGGAGGACUGAACCCUGUUGAAAGAUACAUUUUUACCAGAAAACUAUUUUUAUUGACAAAGAUUAGCUGUACCUUUUAAUCAGAAUAAAACACUCUUCAAAGUGCUCCUCGCACAAAUUAUAACCCCCUUUCUUCAGGUCCUCGAAGGACUUCUGCAGACAUGUCCCUACACCUGACGUUUCUCAGCCAUAUCUUCCUCCUGAGUAAUUGCAAUCUCAGGUUUAAUCUCAGAUUUUAUUGAAUUCACACAAAAAAAUGUAAUUUCAGGCUUUGUUUUCCAUUUUAUGGAAAUAUGACUGACUCUCUUCUCUCUCGAGCCCUGCGAGAGCAGCUUCUACCCUUUCCAGGACCGGAAGAGAUUGUUGUGUGUAUAAAGUUUAUGAUUUGUGUUCUCAAUCCUUGUUCUCUUAUACCUCUACACACUACACUGAAGUUUUAAAUAGUCCUUUAGAUGUUCCUGAGUCUGAGGACACCUCCUGUCACCUGAACCCCCUGCAGACCACCUGAACUGCAUUAGGCAUCAUUUGCUGGAGUUGGGUCUAUGCUCAUGGUCUCCUGUUCUCUUCCUCACCUCUUCUGGAUGUUGGCCUAUGCUUAAGGUCUUCAGU
Molecule: long non-coding RNA, 1353 nt
Filed under: Salmo salar (Atlantic salmon)
Lineage: Eukaryota; Metazoa; Chordata; Actinopteri; Salmoniformes; Salmonidae
Description: lncRNA (ENSSSAG00000090814.1)
Source: RNAcentral